UGAAUUCUUUCCUUCUCAUCGAUGUGUUCGAUACAUUUCUUACUUCCUUAUAUCCGAUCAAUCCAUGCAACCUAAUCAACAAUUCAUUUGACGUACUCAAGACUGGACCAAUGUACCAAUAAAAUUCAUGAAAGAGUUCAUAUAUAAACAAUAGAUAUUUCCUUUGAAGGUACAGACGUAAAUAUUCAUAUUCAGAACACACUUUCUAUACCAGCUUAUUCUUUCUCUAUAUCUCUUUAAUUUAUUAUAUUCGGUCGGUUCACAACCUUAUUAUACUUUACCACAUAAUCUAUAAUAACCUUAUUUCUAAUUGACUUUACUAAUUUCG
RNAcentral lists this long non-coding RNA (328 nucleotides) under Gossypium raimondii (Peruvian cotton). RNAcentral describes it as "long non-coding RNA (GRAI_LNC003710)". Lineage: Eukaryota; Viridiplantae; Streptophyta; Magnoliopsida; Malvales; Malvaceae. The record is from RNAcentral.